RNAcentral lists this transfer RNA (73 nucleotides) under Marmota monax (woodchuck). RNAcentral's name for it is "tRNA.Val". It matches the Rfam family "tRNA". Rfam says of the family: Transfer RNA (tRNA) molecules are approximately 80 nucleotides in length. Their secondary structure includes four short double-helical elements and three loops (D, anti-codon, and T loops). The record is from RNAcentral. Lineage: Eukaryota; Metazoa; Chordata; Mammalia; Rodentia; Sciuridae.
UGGAGUUGUAGCUCAGUGGUAGAGCACUUGCCUCACACGUGUGAGGUACUGGGUUUGAUCCUCAGCACUAUAU